GAUGAACGCUGGCGGCGUGCCUAAUACAUGCAAGUCGAGCGAACAGAUGAGGAGCUUGCUCCUCUGACGUUAGCGGCGGACGGGUGAGUAACACGUGGAUAACCUACCUAUAAGACUGGGAUAACUUCGGGAAACCGGAGCUAAUACCGGAUAAUAUAUUGAACCGCAUGGUUCAAUAGUGAAAGACGGUUUUGCUGUCACUUAUAGAUGGAUCCGCGCCGCAUUAGCUAGUUGGUAAGGUAACGGCUUACCAAGGCAACGAUGCGUAGCCGACCUGAGAGGGUGAUCGGCCACACUGGAACUGAGACACGGUCCAGACUCCAACGGGAGGCAGCAGUAGGGAAUCUUCCGCAAUGGGCGAAAGCCUGACGGAGCAACGCCGCGUGAGUGAUGAAGGUCUUCGGAUCGUAAAACUCUGUUAUUAGGGAAGAACAAAUGUGUAAGUAACUAUGCACGUCUUGACGGUACCUAAUCAGAAAGCCACGGCUAACUACGUG
Molecule: ribosomal RNA, 497 nt
Filed under: uncultured bacterium
Lineage: Bacteria
Description: partial 16S ribosomal RNA
Rfam family: Bacterial small subunit ribosomal RNA
Source: RNAcentral